AGGGAAUAUUGCGCAAUGGACGGAAGUCUGACGCAGCGACGCCGCGUGAGCGAUGAAGGUCUUCGGAUCGUAAAGCUCUGUCCUUGGGGAAGAAGGUCUUCGGACUUGACGGUACCCAAGAAGAAAGCCCCGGCUAACUACGUGCCAGCAGCCGCGGUAAUACGUAGGGGGCGAGCGUUGUCCGGAAUUACUGGGCGUAAAGGGUGCGUAGGCGGCCCUUUAAGUCGGAUGUGAAAGCCCGCGGCUUAACCGCGGAAUGGCAUUCGAAACUGGAGGGCUUGAGUGUCGGAGAGGGUAGUGGAAUUCCCAGUGUAGCGGUGAAAUGCGUAGAUAUUGGGAGGAACACCAGUGGCGAAGGCGACUACCUGGACGAUAACUGACGCUGAGGCACGAAAGCUAGGGGAGCAAAC
RNAcentral lists this ribosomal RNA (410 nucleotides) under uncultured bacterium. Its description in RNAcentral is "bacterial SSU rRNA". It matches the Rfam family "Bacterial small subunit ribosomal RNA", at positions 356 to 773 of the family's 1533-position model. The record is from RNAcentral.